CAGCAGCCACGGUAAUACGUAGGGUGCGAGCGUUAAUCGGAAUUACUGGGCGUAAAGCGUGCGCAGGCGGUUUUGUAAGACAGAGGUGAAAUCCCCGGGCUCAACCUGGGAACUGCCUUUGUGACUGCAAGGCUAGAGUACGGCAGAGGGGGAUGGAAUUCCGCGUGUAGCAGUGAAAUGCGUAGAUAUGCGGAGGAACACCGAUGGCGAAGGCAAUCCCCUGGGCCUGUACUGACGCUCAUGCACGAAAGCGUGGGGAGCAAACAGGAUUAGAUACCCCAGUAGUCCCUGUCUCUUAUAC
RNAcentral lists this ribosomal RNA (301 nucleotides) under uncultured bacterium. RNAcentral's name for it is "partial 16S ribosomal RNA". It matches the Rfam family "Bacterial small subunit ribosomal RNA", at positions 509 to 807 of the family's 1533-position model. The record is from RNAcentral.